Molecule: ribosomal RNA, 280 nt
Filed under: uncultured bacterium
Lineage: Bacteria
Description: partial 16S ribosomal RNA
Rfam family: Bacterial small subunit ribosomal RNA
Source: RNAcentral
ACUCCGGUGGUAUAAGAUGGGCCCGCGUCUGAUUAGCUAGUUGGUGAGGUAACGGCUCUACCAAGGCAACGAUCAGUAGCCGGCUUGAGAGAGUGGACGGCCACAUUGGGACUGAGACACGGCCCAAACUCCUACGGGAGGCAGCAGUGGGGAAUAUUGCACAAUGGGGGGAACCCUGAUGCAGCGACGCCGCGUGAGUGAAGAAGUACUUCGGUAUGUAAAGCUCUAUCAGCAGGGAAGAAGAAUGGCGGUACCUGACUAAGAAGCUCCGGCUAAAUAC